This 796-nucleotide ribosomal RNA is filed under the name uncultured bacterium. Its description in RNAcentral is "bacterial SSU rRNA". It matches the Rfam family "Bacterial small subunit ribosomal RNA", at positions 92 to 871 of the family's 1533-position model. The record is from RNAcentral.
UUAGUGGCGAACGGGUGGAGUAACACGUGGGGAAUUCGGCCCAUGAGUGGGGGAUAACAUUCGGAAACGAAUGCUAAUCCCGCAUAUAUUUUUAGACCGCAUGGUCUUUAGAAGAAAGACGGCUUCGGCUGUCGCUCAUGGAUGAUCCCGCAGCGUAUUAGUUAGUUGGUGGGGUAAAGGCCUACCAAGACAAUGAUACGUAGCCGACAUGAGAGGGUGAUCGGCCACACUGGGACUGAGACACGGCCCAGACUCCUACGGGAGGCAGCAGUAGGGAAUCUUCCACAAUGGGUGCAAACCUGAUGGAGCAAUGCCGCGUGAAUGAAGAAGGUCUUCGGAUCGUAAAGUUCUGUUAUUAGUGAAGAACAAAUUGAGGAGUAACUGUCUCGAUUUUGACGGUAACUAACCAGAAAGUCACGGCUAACUACGUGCCAGCAGCCGCGGUAAUACGUAGGUGACAAGCGUUGUCCGGAAUUAUUGGGCGUAAAGGGAGCGCAGGCGGUUGGAAUAGUUUGAUGUGAAAGCCCACGGCUUAACCGUGGAAGGUCAUUGGAAACUGUCCAACUUGAAUGCAGAAGAGGUAAGUGGAAUUCCAUGUGUAGCGGUGAAAUGCGUAGAUAUAUGGAGGAACACCAGUGGCGAAGGCGACUUACUGGUCUGUGAUUGACGCUGAGGCUCGAAAGCGUGGGUAGCGAACAGGAUUAGAUACCCUGGUAGUCCACGCCGCAAACGAUGAGUGCUAAGUGUUGGAGGGUUUCCGCCCUUCAGUGCUGGAGUUAACGCAUUAAGCACUCCG